UCUCUACCUCCCUCCCUCUCUCUGUCUCUCUGUCUCUGUCUCUGUCUCUCUCUCUCUCUCUCUCUCUCUCUCUCUCUCUCUCUCUUUCUCACUAAACCACACAUUUCCUAUAGAUGCCACUGGGUGUGUGUCAUUCACAUUCCUGAUACACACAGUUGACAACCACAGAGGAAAGACUUACAAGGAGCAAGAUUGGCAGAGGACAGCACAGCCUGCAGAGGGGCUGAUGAAAGCUUCCUUUUCUUCCUCUGACUCCCUAUUGUUGGUGAUAUAGGCAGCCAUCUCAUCUUUCCUCUGCCACAGUCACUGGCAACUCUCAUUGCUGAACUUUUAUUGCUGAACCUUCCUGGCCAUAAUAGAGUGACCAGACAGUUUCAAAAAGCGCUCGGCUUUUCUUUGACCCUCAUGACACUGGACUCUCAGCACUGCCAGAAGACAAGACAGCGAACGGUCCCAUGAUUCAACAGCAGCCUUCCCUUCUUUUUACCUUCUACUGGAUCAAAAAAUCUGAAUGCUCCCAAACUGCACAGCCAGCAAACUCAGACAUCACCAAUGCACAGUCAUUUCACAGAAGAGGAAGUAGAAACUCGAAGGGCAUGUCAGUCACCACAGAACUAGCCAGUUCCCAAGUCUGGGCCCCAGUCCAUGAAUCCUGACAUUCACAUCCAGGGUUGAUCUCCCUUCCAUAGUCAACCAUCUCUGGAAACACCAUCACAGACUGACUAUCCAGAAGCGUGUCUCCUGGGGCCUUCCACAUCUAGUCAGGUUGACACUGAAGAUAAACCAUGACAGAAGGGACACUCAUGAGACCAGCAGCUGCCACUCACAGUAGCCUUACAGAGUCAGCGCACUACAAGCUGAGUCUGAGGUAUGAACACACCAAGACAGACCUGCCUCAGGGAACUGCCUCACGCCAAGCAAAGCCCCAAGAGACAGCAAGUAUCCUGUGUGUGAAUUUAAGAAAUGAAAUAUGAUGUCUAAAGAGGAGGAAAAAAUA
Molecule: long non-coding RNA, 997 nt
Organism: Grammomys surdaster
Lineage: Eukaryota; Metazoa; Chordata; Mammalia; Rodentia; Muridae
Exons: 4
Source: RefSeq, a predicted model, not a curated record